RNAcentral lists this long non-coding RNA (528 nucleotides) under Capsella rubella. RNAcentral describes it as "long non-coding RNA (CRUB_LNC000713)". The record is from RNAcentral. Lineage: Eukaryota; Viridiplantae; Streptophyta; Magnoliopsida; Brassicales; Brassicaceae.
UUGACCUUAACCUUGCUUAUUUGAACUUAAUCUUGACUUGUUAUAUCUCACUUAGGGGGUUGGUAAUCAUGUAAUGGAUAAUACAUUCAGAGUUUAACCCGCGUUGUUUUAUCUCUCUUUGUAAACUCUGAAUGGCUUGACUCAUCUUUAGUCUAGUACCACACCUUUAGCCCUAUCCAUGCUUCAUACUACAUGCAUUCUUGUGUCAUUGUCAUCAUGUGCAUUCAUGUGCAAAAACUACGGAGUAUACAGACCGACAUAGCUUUCCUUUAGUUAGGAUUGUAAUUGUAGUUGUUUGGGAUGAUUGACAUUGAGUUCUUGUGGUUAUAUUGAUAUAUUUAUGAGCAUGUGCUGUGAGCGAUCAUGAUUGAGUUCUGUUGAUGCAGUUUGUGAGACGAGAACCGGUUCCACUCCCCCGUUAAAAAAAAAAAAGAGAGAAAAGAACGGGAAAGGAGAAAGAAUGGAACCGGAAAAGUCGAUAAGUCUUUGGUUGUAUUUGAAAAGCAUCUAUAAUACUUAUGAUUUGUU